RNAcentral lists this ribosomal RNA (252 nucleotides) under uncultured bacterium. Its description in RNAcentral is "partial 16S ribosomal RNA". It matches the Rfam family "Bacterial small subunit ribosomal RNA", at positions 524 to 776 of the family's 1533-position model. The record is from RNAcentral.
UACGUAGGGUGCAAGCGUUGUCCGGAUUUAUUGGGUUUAAAGGGUGCGUAGGCGGUUUAUUAAGUCAGUGGUUAAAGACUGUGGCUCAACCAUAGCACGCCAUUGAUACUGGUAAACUUGAGUAUGUUAGAGGAAACUGGAAUGUAUGGUGUAGCGGUGAAAUGCAUAGAUAUCAUACAGAACACCAAUUGCGAAGGCAGGUUUCUAUAACAUUACUGACGCUGAGGCACGAAAGCGUGGGGAGCGAACAGG